ACGCGACCCCAGGUCAGGCUGAUCACUCGAGU
RNAcentral lists this ribosomal RNA (32 nucleotides) under Brassica juncea var. tumida. Its description in RNAcentral is "partial large subunit ribosomal RNA". The record is from RNAcentral. Lineage: Eukaryota; Viridiplantae; Streptophyta; Magnoliopsida; Brassicales; Brassicaceae.